This 128-nucleotide small nuclear RNA is filed under the name Helianthus annuus (common sunflower). Its description in RNAcentral is "sRNA HanXRQr2_Chr14g0639081". It matches the Rfam family "U1 spliceosomal RNA". From Rfam's summary of the family: U1 is a small nuclear RNA (snRNA) component of the spliceosome (involved in pre-mRNA splicing). Its 5' end forms complementary base pairs with the 5' splice junction, thus defining the 5' donor site of an intron. There are significant differences in sequence and secondary structure between metazoan and yeast U1 snRNAs, the latter being much longer (568 nucleotides as compared to 164 nucleotides in human). Lineage: Eukaryota; Viridiplantae; Streptophyta; Magnoliopsida; Asterales; Asteraceae. The record is from RNAcentral.
UCACUUACCUGGAUGGGGUCAAUGGGUGUUCAAGAAGGCUCCUAUCUUGCGUUAGUAACCUCCAUUGCACAUAGGAGGGGUGCUAUCCUAAGGUCGGCCCAAGUGGCCGAGCCUUAGGUUUGUUAUAC